GUUUUCACUCUUCGCAAGCGAACUGAUCAAAACCCACACUCGGUGACGGACGUUUUGUUCGUUUUGCUUGCGAUCAGUGCGAGCGUAC
Molecule: microRNA precursor, 88 nt
Filed under: Ascaris suum (pig roundworm)
Lineage: Eukaryota; Metazoa; Nematoda; Chromadorea; Rhabditida; Ascarididae
Description: microRNA asu-mir-375 precursor
Gene: asu-mir-375
Source: miRBase by way of RNAcentral